AGUGAACGCUGGCGGUAGGCCUAACACAUGCAAGUCGAACGGCAGCACAGGAGAGCUUGCUCUCUGGGUGGCGAGUGGCGGACGGGUGAGGAAUACAUCGGAAUCUACUUUUUCGUGGGGGAUAACGUAGGGAAACUUACGCUAAUACCGCAUACGACCUACGGGUGAAAGCAGGGGAUCUUCGGACCUUGCGCGAUUGAAUGAGCCGAUGUCGGAUUAGCUAGUUGGCGGGGUAAAGGCCCACCAAGGCGACGAUCCGUAGCUGGUCUGAGAGGAUGAGCAGCCAAACUGGAACAGGGAAACGGUCCAGACUCCUACGGGAGGCAGCAGUGGGGAAUAUUGGACAAUGGGCGCAAGCCUGAUCCAGCCAUACCGCGUGGGUGAAGAAGGCCUUCGGGUUGUAAAGCCCUUUUGUUGGGAAAGAAAUCCAGCUGGUUAAUACCCGGUUGGGAUGACGGUACCCAAAGAAUAAGCACCGGCUAACUUCGUGCCAGCCGCCGCGGUAA
RNAcentral lists this ribosomal RNA (506 nucleotides) under uncultured bacterium. RNAcentral describes it as "partial 16S ribosomal RNA". It matches the Rfam family "Bacterial small subunit ribosomal RNA", at positions 29 to 523 of the family's 1533-position model. The record is from RNAcentral.